This 242-nucleotide ribosomal RNA is filed under the name uncultured bacterium. RNAcentral's name for it is "partial 16S ribosomal RNA". It matches the Rfam family "Bacterial small subunit ribosomal RNA", at positions 92 to 334 of the family's 1533-position model. The record is from RNAcentral.
ACAGUGGCGAAAGGGUGAGUAACACGUGAGCAACCUGCCCCGAGAUUGGGAUAGCCCGCGGAAACGCGGAGUAAUACCAGAUGUGAAGAUCGUGGCCGCAUGGCCGUUUUCUUCAAAGUUUUUCGCUCGGGGAUGGGCUCGCGCCCCAUUAGCUUGUUGGUGAGGUAACGGCUCACCAAGGCUACGACGGGUAGGUGGUCUGAGAGGACGAUCACCCACACCGGGACUGAGACACUGCCCGG